RNAcentral lists this ribosomal RNA (118 nucleotides) under Pteropus alecto (black flying fox). The record is from RNAcentral. Lineage: Eukaryota; Metazoa; Chordata; Mammalia; Chiroptera; Pteropodidae.
GUCUAUGGCCAUACCACCCUGAACAAGCCCGAUCCCAUCAAUCUCGGAAGCUAAGCAGGGUCGGGCCUGGUUAGUACCUGGAUGGGAGACCACCUAGGAAGACCAGGUGCUAUAGGCG